RNAcentral lists this ribosomal RNA (253 nucleotides) under uncultured bacterium. RNAcentral's name for it is "partial 16S ribosomal RNA". It matches the Rfam family "Bacterial small subunit ribosomal RNA", at positions 524 to 776 of the family's 1533-position model. The record is from RNAcentral.
UACGGGGGGUGCGAGCGUUGUCCGGAUUCACUGGGCGUAAAGGGCGCGUAGGCGGCUGGCUCAGUCGGGCCUGUAAGUCCAGGGCUCAACCCUGGAAUGCCGGUGGAAACUGUCGGGCUAGAGUCCGGAAGAGGCGAGUGGAAUUCCUGGUGUAGCGGUGAAAUGCGCAGAUAUCAGGAGGAACACCAAUGGCGAAGGCAGCUCGCUGGGACGGUACUGACGCUGAGACGCGAAAGCGUGGGGAGCGAACAGG